RNAcentral lists this ribosomal RNA (433 nucleotides) under uncultured bacterium. Its description in RNAcentral is "partial 16S ribosomal RNA". It matches the Rfam family "Bacterial small subunit ribosomal RNA", at positions 29 to 507 of the family's 1533-position model. The record is from RNAcentral.
AACGAACGCUGGCGGCAUGCCUAACACAUGCAAGUCGAACGAGACCUUCGGGUCUAGUGGCGCACGGGUGCGUAACGCGUGGGAACCUGCACUUAGGUUCGGAAUAACUCCCCGAAAGGGGUGCUAAUACCGGAUAAUGUCUUCGGACCAAAGAUUUAUCGCCUUUGGAUGGGCCCGCGUUGGAUUAGCUUGUUGGUAGGGUAAAAGCCUACCACGGCGAGGAUGCAUAGCUGGUCUGAGAGGAUGAUCAGCCACACUGGGACUGAGACACGGCCCAGACUCCUACGGGAGGCAGCAGUGGGUAAUAGUGGACAAUGGGCGAAAUCCUGAUCCAGCAAUGCCGCGUGAGUGAUGAAGGCCGUAGGGUUGUAAAGCUCUUUUAACCGGGAUGAUAAUGACAGUACCGGGAGAAUAAGCUCCGGCUAACUACGUG